AGUAAAAUCAGCUAAUUAAGCUCUCGGGCCCAUACCCCGAACAUGUUGGUUAAAAUCCUUCUUUUGCUA
RNAcentral lists this transfer RNA (69 nucleotides) under Gymnothorax niphostigmus (snowflake-patched moray). RNAcentral describes it as "tRNA-Met". It matches the Rfam family "tRNA". From Rfam's summary of the family: Transfer RNA (tRNA) molecules are approximately 80 nucleotides in length. Their secondary structure includes four short double-helical elements and three loops (D, anti-codon, and T loops). Lineage: Eukaryota; Metazoa; Chordata; Actinopteri; Anguilliformes; Muraenidae. The record is from RNAcentral.